This 442-nucleotide ribosomal RNA is filed under the name uncultured bacterium. RNAcentral describes it as "partial 16S ribosomal RNA". It matches the Rfam family "Bacterial small subunit ribosomal RNA", at positions 338 to 795 of the family's 1533-position model. The record is from RNAcentral.
CCUACGGGAGGCAGCAGUAGGGAAUCUUUCACAAUGGGCGAAAGCCUGAUGGAGCAACGCCGCGUGCAGGAUGAAGGCCUUCGGGUUGUAAACUGCUUUUAUAAGCGAGAAAUAUGAUGGUAACUUAUGAAUAAGGAUCGGCUAACUACGUGCCAGCAGCCGCGGUCAUACGUAGGAUCCGAGCAUUAUCCGGAGUGACUGGGUGUAAAGAGUUGCGUAGGUGGCAUAAUAAGUAGCUAGUGAAAUCUGGUGGCUCAACCAUUCAGACUAUUAGCUAAACUGUUAAGCUCGAGACCGUUAGGGGUAACUGGAAUGUCUGGUGUAGGGGUGAAAUCCGUAGAUAUUAGAAGGAACACCGAUUGCGUAGGCAGGUUGCUGGGACGGUUCUGACGCUGAGGCACGAAAGCGUAGGGAGCAAACGGGAUUAGAUACCCUUGUAGUC